This 144-nucleotide unclassified non-coding RNA is filed under the name uncultured Helotiales. RNAcentral describes it as "sequence contains ITS2". The record is from RNAcentral. Lineage: Eukaryota; Fungi; Ascomycota; Leotiomycetes; Helotiales.
CAACUCUCAAGCACAGCUUGGUAUUGGGUGUCACUGUUUGUAGUGCACCUUAAAAUCAGUGGCGGUGCCACCUGGCUUCUAGCGUAGUAAAUCUUCUCGCUAUAGAGCUUGGGUGUGUACUUGCUAUCAACGCCUAUUGUUACA